AGUGAACGCUGGCGGUAGGCCUAACACAUGCAAGUCGAACGGCAGCACAGUAAGAGCUUGCUCUUACGGGUGGCGAGUGGCGGACGGGUGAGGAAUACAUCGGAUUCUACUUUUUCGUGGGGGAUAACGUAGGGAAACUUACGCUAAUACCGCAUACGACCUACGGGUGAAAGCAGGGGAUCUUCGGACCUUGCGCGAUUGAAUGAGCCGAUGUCGGAUUAGCUAGUUGGCGGGGUAAAGGCCCACCAAGGCGACGAUCCGUGGCUGGUCUGAGAGGAUGAUCAGCCACACUGGAACUGAGACACGGUCCAGACUCCUACGGGAGGCAGCAGUGGGGAAUAUUGGACAAUGGGCGCAAGCCUGAUCCAGCCAUACCGCGUGGGUGAAGAAGGCCUUCGGGUUGUAAAGCCCUUUUGUUGGGAAAGAAAAGCAGCAGGUUAAUACCCCGCUGUUCUGACGGUACCCAGAGAAUAAGCACCGGCUAACUUCGUG
RNAcentral lists this ribosomal RNA (492 nucleotides) under uncultured bacterium. RNAcentral describes it as "partial 16S ribosomal RNA". It matches the Rfam family "Bacterial small subunit ribosomal RNA", at positions 29 to 507 of the family's 1533-position model. The record is from RNAcentral.